GACGAACGCUGGCGGCGUGCUUAACACAUGCAAGUCGAACGGAAAGGCCCUGCUUUUGUGGGGUGCUCGAGUGGCGAACGGGUGAGUAACACGUGAGUAACCUGCCCUUGACUUUGGGAUAACUUCAGGAAACUGGGGCUAAUACCGGAUAGGAGCUCCUGCUGCAUGGUGGGGGUUGGAAAGUUUCGGCGGUUGGGGAUGGACUCGCGGCUUAUCAGCUUGUUGGUGGGGUAGUGGCUUACCAAGGCUUUGACGGGUAGCCGGCCUGGGAGGGUGACCGGACAAAUUGGGACUGAGAUAAGGCACAGACUACUACGGGAGGCAGCAGUGGGGAAUAUUGCACAAUGGGAGGAAGCAUGAUGCAGCAACGCAGCGUGCGGGAUGACGGCAUUCGGGUUGUAAACCGAUUUCGCCUGUGACGAAGCGUGAGUGACGGUAAUGGGUAAAGAAGCACCGGCUAACUACGUG
RNAcentral lists this ribosomal RNA (468 nucleotides) under uncultured bacterium. Its description in RNAcentral is "partial 16S ribosomal RNA". It matches the Rfam family "Bacterial small subunit ribosomal RNA", at positions 28 to 507 of the family's 1533-position model. The record is from RNAcentral.